AACGAACGCUGGCGGCAUGCCUAACACAUGCAAGUCGAACGGGACCUUCGGGUCUAGUGGCGCACGGGUGCGUAACGCGUGGGAACCUGCCCUUAGGUUCGGAAUAACUCCCCGAAAGGGGUGCUAAUACCGGAUAAUGUCUUCGGACCAAAGAUUUAUCGCCUUUGGAUGGGCCCGCGUUGGAUUAGCUAGUUGGUAGGGUAAAAGCCUACCAAGGCGACGAUCCAUAGCUGGUCUGAGAGGAUGAUCAGCCACACUGGGACUGAGACACGGCCCAGACUCCUACGGGAAGCAGCAGUGGGGAAUAUUGGACAAUGGGCGAAAGCCUGAUCCAGCAAUGCCGCGUGAGUGAUGAAGGCCUUAGGGUUGUAAAGCUCUUUUACCCGGGAUGAUAAUGACAGUUCCGGGAGAAUAAGCUCCGGCUAACUCCGUG
RNAcentral lists this ribosomal RNA (433 nucleotides) under uncultured bacterium. Its description in RNAcentral is "partial 16S ribosomal RNA". It matches the Rfam family "Bacterial small subunit ribosomal RNA", at positions 29 to 507 of the family's 1533-position model. The record is from RNAcentral.